This 253-nucleotide ribosomal RNA is filed under the name uncultured bacterium. RNAcentral's name for it is "partial 16S ribosomal RNA". It matches the Rfam family "Bacterial small subunit ribosomal RNA", at positions 524 to 776 of the family's 1533-position model. The record is from RNAcentral.
GACGAGGGGUCCUAGCGUUGUUCGGAAUCACUGGGCGUAAAGCGUAUGUAGGCGGCCUGCUAAGUCAGUUGUGAAAUCCCACGGCUCAACCGUGGAAUUGCAAUUGAAACUGGCGGGCUUGAGUGCAGGAGAGGUUGGUAGAAUACCUAGUGUAGUGGUGAAAUACGUAGAUAUUAGGUGGAAUACCGGUGGCGAAGGCGGCCAACUGGCCUAGCACUGACGCUGAGAUACGAAAGCGUGGGGAUCAAACAGG